UUAAGCGACUAAGCGUACACGGUGGAUGCCCUGGCAGUCAGAGGCGAUGAAGGACGUGCUAAUCUGCGAAAAGCGCCGGCGAGGUGAUAUGAACCUUUGACCCGGCGAUGUCCGAAUGGGGAAACCCAGUGCAAUCCGUUGCACUAUCGUUAACUGAAUACAUAGGUUAACGAGGCGAACCGGGGGAACUGAAACAUCUAAGUACCCCGAGGAAAAGAAAUCAACCGAGAUUCCCCCAGUAGCGGCGAGCGAACGGGGAGCAGCCCGGAGUCUGAAUCAGCUUGUGUGUUAGUGGAACGGUCUGGAAAGUCCGACGGUACAGGGUGAUAGUCCCGUACACGAAAAUGCACAUGCUGUGAACUCGAAGAGUAGGGCGGGACACGUGGUAUCCUGUCUGAAUAUGGGGGGACCAUCCUCCAAGGCUAAAUACUCCUGACUGACCGAUAGUGAACCAGUACCGUGAGGGAAAGGCGAAAAGAACCCCGGCGAGGGGAGUGAAAAAGAACCUGAAACCGUGUACGUACAAGCAGUGGGAGCCUCUUUAUGGGGUGACUGCGUACCUUUUGUAUAAUGGGUCAGCGACUUAUAUUCUGUAGCAAGGUUAACCGUAUAGGGGAGCCGAAGGGAAACCGAGUCUUAACUGGGCGUUAAGUUGCAGGGUAUAGACCCGAAACCCGGUGAUCUAGCCAUGGGCAGGUUGAAGGUUGGGUAACACUAACUGGAGGACCGAACCGACUAAUGUUGAAAAAUUAGCGGAUGACCUGUGGCUGGGGGUGAAAGGCCAAUCAAACCGGGAGAUAGCUGGUUCUCCCCGAAAGCUAUUUAGGUAGCGCCUCGUGAACUCAUCUUCGGGGGUAGAGCACUGUUUCGGCUAGGGGGCCAUCCCGGCUUACCAACCCGAUGCAAACUACGAAUACCGAAGAAUGUUAUCACGGGAGACACACGGCGGGUGCUAACGUCCGUCGUGAAGAGGGAAACAACCCAGACCGCCAGCUAAGGUCCCAAAGUCAUGGUUAAGUGGGAAACGAUGUGGGAAGGCACAGACAGCCAGGAUGUUGGCUUAGAAGCAGCCAUCAUUUAAAGAAAGCGUAAUAGCUCACUGGUCGAGUCGGCCUGCGCGGAAGAUGUAACGGGGCUAAACCAUGCACCGAAGCUGCGGCAGCGACACUAUGUGUUGUUGGGUAGGGGAGCGUUCUGUAAGCCGUUGAAGGUGUGCUGUGAGGCAUGCUGGAGGUAUCAGAAGUGCGAAUGCUGACAUAAGUAACGAUAAAGCGGGUGAAAAGCCCGCUCGCCGGAAGACCAAGGGUUCCUGUCCAACGUUAAUCGGGGCAGGGUGAGUCGACCCCUAAGGCGAGGCCGAAAGGCGUAGUCGAUGGGAAACAGGUUAAUAUUCCUGUACUUGGUGUUACUGCGAAGGGGGGACGGAGAAGGCUAUGUCAGCCGGGCGACGGUUGUCCCGGUUUAAGCAUGUAGGCGGAGGUUCCAGGUAAAUCCGGUACCUUAUUAACGCUGAGGUGUGAUGACGAGGCACUACGGUGCUGAAGUGAUAAAUGCCCUGCUUCCAGGAAAAGCCUCUAAGCAUCAGGUAACACGAAAUCGUACCCCAAACCGACACAGGUGGUCAGGUAGAGAAUACCAAGGCGCUUGAGAGAACUCGGGUGAAGGAACUAGGCAAAAUGGUGCCGUAACUUCGGGAGAAGGCACGCUGAUGUGUAGGUGAAGCCCCUGCGGGCGGAGCUGAAAUCAGUCGAAGAUACCAGCUGGCUGCAACUGUUUAUUAAAAACACAGCACUGUGCAAACACGAAAGUGGACGUAUACGGUGUGACGCCUGCCCGGUGCCGGAAGGUUAAUUGAUGGGGUUAGCGGCAACGCGAAGCUCUUGAUCGAAGCCCCGGUAAACGGCGGCCGUAACUAUAACGGUCCUAAGGUAGCGAAAUUCCUUGUCGGGUAAGUUCCGACCUGCACGAAUGGCGUAAUGAUGGCCAGGCUGUCUCCACCCGAGACUCAGUGAAAUUGAACUCGCUGUGAAGAUGCAGUGUACCCGCGGCAAGACGGAAAGACCCCGUGAACCUUUACUAUAGCUUGACACUGAACACUGGUCCUUGAUGUGUAGGAUAGGUGGGAGGCUUUGAAGCGUGGACGCCAGUCUGCGUGGAGCCAACCUUGAAAUACCACCCUUUAAUGGCUGGUGUUCUAACGUAGACCCGUAAUCCGGGUUGCGGACAGUGUCUGGUGGGUAGUUUGACUGGGGCGGUCUCCUCCCAAAGAGUAACGGAGGAGCACGAAGGUUGGCUAAUCCUGGUCGGACAUCAGGAGGUUAGUGCAAUGGCAUAAGCCAGCUUGACUGCGAGCGUGACGGCGCGAGCAGGUGCGAAAGCAGGUCAUAGUGAUCCGGUGGUUCUGAAUGGAAGGGCCAUCGCUCAACGGAUAAAAGGUACUCCGGGGAUAACAGGCUGAUACCGCCCAAGAGUUCAUAUCGACGGCGGUGUUUGGCACCUCGAUGUCGGCUCAUCACAUCCUGGGGCUGAAGUAGGUCCCAAGGGUAUGGCUGUUCGCCAUUUAAAGUGGUACGCGAGCUGGGUUUAGAACGUCGUGAGACAGUUCGGUCCCUAUCUGCCGUGGGCGCUGGAGAAUUGAGGGGGGCUGCUCCUAGUACGAGAGGACCGGAGUGGACGCAUCACUGGUGUUCGGGUUGUCAUGCCAAUGGCACUGCCCGGUAGCUAAAUGCGGAAGAGAUAAGUGCUGAAAGCAUCUAAGCACGAAACUUGCCCCGAGAUGAGUUCUCCCUGAGACUUUAAGUCUCCUGAAGGAACGUUGAAGACGACGACGUUGAUAGGUCGGGUGUGUAAGCGCAGCGAUGCGUUGAGCUAACCGAUACUAAUGAACCGUGAGGCUUAACCU
This 2902-nucleotide ribosomal RNA is filed under the name Enterobacter cloacae. RNAcentral describes it as "bacterial LSU rRNA". It matches the Rfam family "Bacterial large subunit ribosomal RNA". RNAcentral also lists the same sequence under 1 other name. Lineage: Bacteria; Pseudomonadati; Pseudomonadota; Gammaproteobacteria; Enterobacterales; Enterobacteriaceae. The record is from RNAcentral.